RNAcentral lists this ribosomal RNA (253 nucleotides) under uncultured prokaryote. Its description in RNAcentral is "partial 16S ribosomal RNA". It matches the Rfam family "Bacterial small subunit ribosomal RNA", at positions 524 to 776 of the family's 1533-position model. The record is from RNAcentral.
GACAGAGGGUGCGAACGUUGUUCGGAAUUACUGGGCGUAAAGCGCAUGUAGGCGGCAAUGCAAGUCGGGCGUGAAAUCCCACGGCUCAACCGUGGAAGUGCACUCGAAACUGCAUAGCUAGAGUCCUGGAGAGGAAGGUGGAAUGCUUGGUGUAGAGGUGAAAUUCGUAGAUAUCAAGCGGAACACCGAUGGCGAAGGCAGCCCCCUGGGCCAGCACUGACGCUGAUACACGAAAGCGUGGGGAGCAAACAGG